AACGAACGCUGGCGGCAGGCUUAACACAUACAAGUCGAGCGCCCCGCAAGGGGAGCGGCAGACGGGUGAGUAACGCGUGGGAACGUACCUUUUGGUUCGGAACAACUCCGGGAAACUGGAGCUAAUACCGGAUAAGCCCUAACGGGGAAAGAUUUAUCGCCGAAAGAUCGGCCCGCGUCUGAUUAGCUAGUUGGUGAGGUAACGGCUCACCAAGGCGACGAUCAGUAGCUGGUCUGAGAGGAUGAUCAGCCACACUGGGACUGAGACACGGCCCAGACUCCUACGGGAGGCAGCAGUGGGGAAUAUUGGACAAUGGGCGCAAGCCUGAUCCAGCCAUGCCGCGUGAGUGAUGAAGGCCUUAGGGUUGUAAAGCUCUUUUGUCCGGGAAGAUAAUGACUGUACCGGAAGAAUAAGCCCCGGCUAACUUCGUG
Molecule: ribosomal RNA, 431 nt
Filed under: uncultured bacterium
Lineage: Bacteria
Description: partial 16S ribosomal RNA
Rfam family: Bacterial small subunit ribosomal RNA
Source: RNAcentral